CGGAAACUAGGCAAGGACUUCACCUUUGUGUCCCUAUCCAAAUGGUUCACUAAGUUUAUUGUAAACUAUAUAAUGAACAAUAACCACACACUCUCCAAAUCGUUUGAUGUGUAUAACACAAUUGAAAUAAGUUUCAAGAGAGAUAGUGGGAGUUUAGGGACCAUGACUAUUGUGGUCAAAAGGAGAAGUCAAAUGAAGAAAGCGAAAUAAACUCCAAGGGAACAAACUUUCUUUAUGAAAGGAUGGACAUUGGAAGGGGUAUUUGCAAGAAAUGUCUUGCAAGUGUCAAGAACACACCUUUCGAAGGUGUUGUAAAUUGUUUUUGAAAAGUUCAAAACAGUUGGUUCUUCUACUUGAAUGCUUGAUUCUGUAUUAGUAACUAUGUUUUGCAAUCGUUGUAAAAGUGUGGCUAAUAAGAAGUAGAAGAUUAAUGAGAGAAGAGAAAGUACUUCACAUUCGGAAAGUGAAUCAAAUGUAGAUCUGCGAAAGCAAAUGGUACUUACUUCCUCAUAUGAACUACCAAAGAAAUUGGAAAAACCAAAGAUUGUCUUUACAUUCCAAUUUUAAGGAACUUAAUUCCAUCACUAUAAGGGAUGGAUGAAUGUUUUGUUUGACAAAACAUUGUUCUUUAUUAAUUAAUGAUUAGAUUAUUGUAAUCCAAUUGAUUGUCUUUAUAGUAGAGAUGAUAUGGUAGUGUUAACUGUUUAGAAUAUAACGAUGCUCAAAACCCAAAAGGUUGCAAGGUAGUGACUAAUCCCAACUGAGUUGUGAUACCUCUAAACAUAAAUUACGAGUUGGUUAUAGAUGGAUGCUUUGGAUCGUAAGAUCUGGAUCCAAUGCCUUCUUGUUAAAAUUGUAUAGAGGCAAAAUGUUUGAAUCUUUAUUCUUUUGGAAAGGAAGAAAGGAUCACAAAGUUGUUGAGGUUAAUUCACUUAGAUGUUAGUGGCACUUGUCCACAACAUAAUACUACUCAU
RNAcentral lists this long non-coding RNA (974 nucleotides) under Malus domestica (apple). RNAcentral's name for it is "long non-coding RNA (MDOM_LNC005693)". Lineage: Eukaryota; Viridiplantae; Streptophyta; Magnoliopsida; Rosales; Rosaceae. The record is from RNAcentral.